GAUGAACUGUGGGUAGCGGAGAAAUUCCAAUCGAACCCGGAGAUAGCUGGUUCUCCCCGAAAUAGUUUUAGGACUAGCCUCAAGUUAGAUACCUGGAGGUAAAGCACUGAAUAGCCUAGCGGCCGAGAGGUUAGCGAAGCUUAUCAAACUCAGAAUGCCAGAAUAUUGAUGCUUGGGAGUCAGACAGUGUCAGAUAAAUGUCAUUGUCAAAAGGGAAACAGCCCAGAUCUACAGCUAAGGUCCCAAAGUCAGGUUAAGUGGAAAACGAUGUGAAGAUACGCAGACAACCAGGAUGUUGGCUCAGAAGCAGCCACUCAUUCAAAGAGUGCGUAAUAGCUCACUGGUCGAGCGUCUUUGCGCGGAGAAUUUAACGGGGCUAAACCUGACACCGAAGCUUAGGCAAUGUAGUAAUACAUUGGGUAGGGGAGCGUUGUAUACGCGGUGAAACAGUAGCGCAAGCGGCUGUGGAGUGUAUAGAAGUGAGAAUGCCGGAAUGAGUAGCGCGAAUGCAGUGAGAAUCUGCAUGGCCGAAAGCCUCAGGUUUUUGGAGGAAGGUUCGUCCGCUCCAAGUUAGUCGGGAGCUAAGGUGAGGCCGAGAGGCGUAGCCGAUGCACAGACGGUAGAGAUUCCGUCACCACCAAAAGAGUUAAGCACAGGGACACAUUUGAAGUCUCAGAGCCGGGUGUUGGUUCCGGUAGAGAUCGAGGGAAAUUAGUACCGAAGUCUGGGAUGGAAGAUGGCGAGAAAAGCUGUGUGUAUUUCUGAGGUGCCCGUACCGCAAACCGACACAGGUAGGUAGGAAGAAGAUUCUAAGGCCAACGGGAGAAGGGUUGUUAAGGAACUCGGCAAAUUGACCCCGUAACUUCGGGAGAAGGGGUGCUCCAGAGAUGGAGCCGCAGAGAAUCGGCCCAAGCAACUGUUUACCAAAAACACAGGUUUGUGCUAAAUCGAAAGAUGACGUAUACGAGCUGACGCCUGCCCGGUGCUGGAAGGUUAAGAGGAGAUGUGCAAGCAUUGAAUCGAAGCCCCAGUGAACGGCGGCCGUAACAAUAACGGUCCUAAGGUAGCGAAAUUCCUUGUCAGGUAAGUUCUGACCCGCAUGAAAGGCGUAAUGAUUUGGGCACUGUCUCAACAGCCCGCCCGGCGAAAUUGUAGUACCGGUGAAGAUGCCGGUUACCCGCGACAAGACGGAAAGACCCCAUGGAGCUUUACUGUAGCCUAAUAUUGGGUUUCGAUGUUGCAUGCACAGGAUAGAUGGGACACAGGGAAACAAGUGCUUUGGCAUUUGUGGAGUGGCCGUUGGGAUACCAUCCUUGCGAUAUUGGAAUUCUAACCUGCGCCUUUGAAUCAAGGCGGGGGACAUUGUUAGGUGGGCAGUUUGACUGGGGCGGUCGCCUCCUAAAGAGUA
This 1408-nucleotide ribosomal RNA is filed under the name human gut metagenome. RNAcentral's name for it is "bacterial LSU rRNA". It matches the Rfam family "Bacterial large subunit ribosomal RNA", at positions 803 to 2299 of the family's 2925-position model. The record is from RNAcentral.